This is a long non-coding RNA of Hipposideros armiger (great roundleaf bat), 772 nucleotides long. RefSeq lists it as uncharacterized. Lineage: Eukaryota; Metazoa; Chordata; Mammalia; Chiroptera; Hipposideridae. The transcript is spliced from 4 exons. The record is from RefSeq and is a predicted model, not a curated record.
UCUAUCUAUCUGUGUCACACUGCACGUUCUCAGGAGAGAAACUCAGGUUGGCCAACUUGGGUCAAGCGUCUACCCCCAUCAAUCAGCUGUGAACAGGGGAUGGGCUCAUACAGAAGAGGGGCCAGCCCCUGGAUAUCAGCAGCUGCACCGAGCGAGGGGGAGAUUGUUGGGAGAUGGACAAAGAUCACAAGAGGAAUCUUUCUGGAAGCGGGAAAUGAGGGCAGUGACGGGAGAGGAGAACCCCGUGCAGCACAGCUGGAAGACAAGUCAGCUGAAUUGAGUGGUGAGGAUGAGCGCAAAUGGAAUCACAGUUCCAAGACCUGUGGGAAUGACUUCCUCUGCUUCGUUUGCCCCUGCCCUCACCACUAAUCAGUUCCUGACAGAAGCCAUUUCUUUCACCUAAAAGAUCCAGAUCUCUAGAAGAGGCCGUCUGAUUGGCCCACACUUGGUCAUGGACCCCAUGCCUGGCAGUUACAGCAGGACUGAGAGCCAUGGGAGAGCCCCAGGGUCUAGGGCAAGAAGCAGGGGGAAAGGUGAAAUCAACAGAUACUCACGGUAAUGGGAUUUCAGAUGAGAACGUUGAUGCCAAAAGGCUGAGUGACCCAAGAUACACAGCCAGCCUGUGGACUACUAGGAAUAAAAUCCAGGUUCUCCAUCCAGCCUUCUUCUCCAGCAUGUGGCAGACCAAUUACUUCAUUCUCCUGGAACUCAGUGUCUUUAUCCCUAAAAUGGGAACAUGAUAUUACCUACUUUUCCUAAUUCAUUCGGAAUU